CCUGCUGAACCCUGGCGGCCCGCUCUGCACCUGCACUGUUAUUCGCAUUCUCGGGCGCUCCCCUGUUCCUAAACGGUCCCGGAGGCAAGGACACGGGCGGGAGCGGCCGAGAAACCCCGCGGCCUCGGAAGUCCAGAUAGGGAGCGGGCUGGGGCCCUUUCACUUUUUGAAUCUAGUGCGGCCGAGGUGACUGCUUAGCCUAAGCCCUCCCCCUCCCCUCCCCGCUUACCCUGCUGUAGUCUGGCGGAGAGAAAUGCAAACCGUGAUGGGUUUGCUUCAGCUUGUAUUUUAGCCAUUUGAUAAAAGCAGUAAUUAGGGGCCAGGGCCAUAACUCAAUGAUAGAGUGCUUGCCUACCAUGCCCAAGGCCGUAGGUUCAAUCCCUAAUGCUGUAAGGAGAGGAAAGGGGGGAAAGUGGUAACCAAACAAAACUAAGGAAAAUAAAGCCAUCUGUACCCCGAAGGAGCAAUCCUCUAGAGCAAAAAAGCAUGCAAGGAAGAUUGUGUUUUAGCUCUAGGUACUGAGAAUUUUAACUACUUUAAAAGAAGGAAAUGUGUAUGGGUGUAUUUAUGUAGGUGUACCACGUGCAUGCUUAACCAUCUGUGUUUAGAGGUGGACUCUAGAAGGUUGUAGGAGGACUGCAAGUAUUAACAAGCACAGACAGUAGUGUAUCAGGAAGUUUAACCAUAGCUUUUCUGAUUGAUCUCUCCAAUUGCUGUUUGCAGUUGAUAAUUUUUACACCUGGAACAAAUGAAAAGUUGGCCAUUUUCAAACUAGUGACACAGAUCAGACAUGAAAGAUAUUAGUAUUCUGACGCCGCGUCUGCAUGGUGUGUUACACCCGCCGCAGGGCACCUUGGCUCUACCCGCCAAGGCCCGCGCUCUGUAUCAUUACCAAAGAAUUUAGUCCUUCCGAUGAUGAUUUAUUCUGCGUAGACCCUGCUCCAAAAUGAUAGAAUACAGCGUGGGCAAGUGGCUCGUGCCUUGCCCCCCAAAUUGUGAGAAUUAGCAUAUGUACACAAGGAAGUAGAAAGAACGCACUUGGCUAAAAUAACUGCAAAAACAUGCGAGUUGCCUAGCCCAGUUUCAGAAACAGCACCGUACCAGAAGGGCUAAAGAGCAUCUUGUAUGCCUCCCCACUGGCACCUCCUCUUUUCUGUGCUCAAGUAGUCUUGUUUCAGCCUUUGAGAUAUUUAUUACUUCUACAUUAUUUCCCUAUCUAGCCACUCACCUAUAUAUAUUUGUAAAACGUUUUUGGUUUUGCUGAUAUUUUAAGAUUUAUUGAGGUCUAACUGACAUAUAAUAAACUGCUUAUAUUUCAAACGUGACAUCCCACUACAUAUGACUGUGAGAACACACAUGAUAGUGCAUAUAUCCAUCACCUUAUAAAUCUUUACCUUGCCUUUCUGUAAUCUCCCACGUGACCCCCUUCACAUCCCCUUAAGUAUCAGAUUUGCUUUCUAUCAUCUACUUGGCAUUUUCUCUAUUUUAUAUAAAUGAAAUAAUGCAAUAUAUACUUUUGAUUGUCUUUUUUCCCUUCACAUAAGUAUUUUAAGAUCCAUGUUAUGUGUUCUUUACUUUUUAUUGACAAGUAGUAUUCCACUGCAUGAGAAUGUUUAUUCAUUUGUGGAUGGGUUAAUUACUUUUCAGUGAAAGUUAUUAUGUGUAAAGCUGCUAAGAACAUUGGUCAAAAAAAAACUUUGUAUGGACAAAGGCUGAUUUUUACAAAGAGUUUUCUGCAGUUUAAAGUUUGUUUUAGCAUGGGAAGGCUGUUGUUUAUUAUUUUAUUUUCUUUACAUCCUCACCAGCAAACAUGGUUGACCUGGUGGAUCUGAAAUGGAUCUCAUGUGACUUCAAUUUGCAUCUUACUCAGUAUAGUUGGACAUCUUUUUUUGUAUUUAUAGAUUUUUUUUUUUUUUUGGUUGCAGAAACUCAUGUUGUAUUUAAUGGUGUUCUUUGCUAAACAAAAUCUGACCUAAAUGUGAUUCAGAAUGAUGAGUCCUGUUUUUCCUUUUGGUUUUGGUCUGCUAUAAGGGGUCCUUCUAAUCACCUCUGCCUCAAAACCUGCGCUUGAACUCUAGUACCUUCUCGGCCCACUGUGGAUAGCUGGACGCUGGUUAAAGGGUCACCUCAGCUUCGUUGUAUUGUAAAGCAGGUGCUAGGAUUGUGGCACACAGCAGGCUCAGCUGUCUUCCUUUCCAAUGCUAACAUUCAAGCUGCAAUUCUCCCAAUUCUCCUGCUUCAGCUACAGUCUGCAAUUUCUGGUAUGUUGUUUUCAUUGUUCUUGAAGUUUAAAAUGCUUCUGAAUUUUUCUUUUAUUUUUUUCCUGACUUCUAUUAAAUAACCAGCUAUUUUUAAUUUCAUUUCAACCCCUUAGCACUUUAGCUGCACCUCUUUGCAUUCAUAUUCAGUGGUUCCCCUAAGGUUAAUAUUCAUCUUGAACUGAUUUUCAGAGUCUGUGUUUAAACUUUGUACUGCUUAUGUAAAACAUAACCCACGCACAACCUAUUUUUGUACUGGCCAAAUAGUGUCUUCUACCAAUUCUGCUUGUCCCAUAGUUUGGUAUAAAAUGCAGUCUGGGGCUGGCCAGGUAGCUCGGCAGGUUGCGGUGCAUGCCACCACUGGCAACCUGAGUUCAGGCCUCAGGCCUGUAUAUGAUAGGAAAAACCCACUGACAGUGGGUCCCCUGACACUGAGCUCCCCGGUGUGGCUGGCAAGUUUACACACAUACAGUGAACAGAUGUCACAAAAAUAAAAUGUAGCCUGGUUUAUCUUUUCAGUACUGAACCAGACGUUGGUUUUUAAUAACCCCUUUCCCCGGUUUUCUUGGUAAAGAAGGAAUACCUUUUUAAGAAUGUACUGUUUUGUUUGAGAGUUCCACUAUUUCAUGCAGACUGUCCUCCAGCUCCUGGAUUCAGGCGACUAGUCCUUCUACCUCUGCUUUUCCCGCUGCUGGAGCUACCAGCAGGAGCCUCUGCACAUGGCUUGAUUCUGCUUAUCAUUAAACAUGUCUGCUGCAGACUGGCAAGAACCUUACAAAGCAGUUUUAAAUGGUUGGCUUCUAGUUUUUGUUUUGCAGAUCUUGUAGAUACCAAUUUUUAAGAUGUUGAAACCUAUUACCAGUUGAACAGGUAAUCCUCCCAAGCAUCGAAUCCUGGUCAGCUGCUCAAUGUAUCCAACUCUGGUCACCAUAUUGAAAAGUGCAGCUCACACUUGUUACUCUUGUCUCCCACACUAGAAAUGAGUUUCUGGUAAUUAGGGCUCUUUUAAAGAGUCUUGGUGUUUUUAUUUUUUGAAAUUAUAUUACUUCCUCCUUUUUUUGUCCUCUUUCCCCUUACUCUUUCCAAUUCAUGGCUGUUUUAUGUCUGUGUAUAUUCCUAAAUAUAUAAGUAAAUCUGCUCAGUCUGUAUGUUAUUUAUAUGUGUAUGUAUGCUUGUACAAUACCACUUGGUAUUGUGUAACCAACUGGUGUGUUCUUCCCUGGGGAAGACUUUUUCCUGAUCUCAACAUUUCUUAGUUGCCUGUAGUUUUUUGUUUUUUUUAAACUAGGGUUAAGGCAUUGUGAACUUUCCCCCUCCCAUGUUAACAUGUCUUUUGGUGGUGUUCUUGUUCAGUUCAUGUUUAGGCAGUUAUGUUCAUGAGACUUCAUGGAUACAUAGCUUCUGUGACAUCAGGCUCCUUGUAUUUUCACUGAUAUAAUCAAGUGUGUGGCAUAUAUUAGGUGGUUAGAAUUUGUUGAAAUAGUGACUGUCAUUUCUACUUAGUUGUUUCAUGGGUGUGUGAUUACUGCAUUCCACUGUUUCCUAAAUACUAUCAUUCAUUCCCCCAGGAUUCAUACCAGAAGUAUAGCUGUAUGUCCCCAUAAUCUUGUAUUUAUUCACAGUUCACUCUUUGAGUAACUAAGCAUCUGCUAUGGAACACGUUAAAUAACCCCUGCCUGUUGCUGGAGUUAUCUCCAGUCCCACUCGGGCCUGCAGCUACUCAGUGUAUAUAUUUAAUUUAUAUAUGGUGAUAUUUUAUUUGUGCUGAAAUGUGAUUUUAUUUGUAUGUUAACAAAUAAAGUUGCCUGGAGAUCAGAGGUCAAAGCGAGCCAUAAGCAGAGUUAGGCGGUGGUAGCACAUGCCCUUAAUCCGAUCACAUGGCAGGCGGAGUCUCGGUGUGGUCAAGGACACAGCCAAGCUUGGUGACACGAACCUUAAAUCCCAGUAACAACCAUAGACCUGGAGGUCUGUAUAGACAGGCAGUGACAAAGUCAUGUGGUUGGGUUUAGAGCCAAUGAGAAGGCAGAACAGAAAGGCAAUAAAAACACAAGUCAAGCAGGAAGAGGUCUCUCUCUGUGGGGAAGCUACUUCUGGUGGUAAGCUAAAGCUAGUCGUAGCUACUGCUCUGAUCUCUUUGGCUUUUUCCUCUGUAUUUGGCUCUGUGUUUCUUAUUAAGACUGUUUAGUAAAUAAGGCUGUCAAAUAAAGGUGAUUGAAAAUAAAGGCAGAGAGGAGUUAGUGGGCAAAAAGGACCUCUAUUUUGAUUGUCUGGUAAAGGCCUAAGGAGAGUGAAGGGAAAGUCACAGAGUGGGAGUGACCCUCAGCAGAAGUCACAGCAAGUGUGAAACAUCCCCAAGUUCAAAUAGAACAUAAGCACGCCUACCUGAGCAAAGCCACCAUAGCUUUCUUUCCUCAAUGCCACGGUUUUCCAUCCCAUAAUACACACUUUUCACCUUUACAAAUUCAAGUUGGACCAUUUUUAUUCUUCUCAAGUAUCUGAUAAUGUCUGAACAUAUAUGAUUGCAGUUUUAACUGUUCUCUGCUAAUUUUAUAAUCAGUGUUAGUUUGGGGCUGGUCUAAUUUCACUGGUCUUUCUCCAUUUCCUGCUCUCUGACCCACAUAGCAAUUAACAAGAUUCCAUCUAAUUAUGUAUAUGCAUUGGUCUGUGUAUGGAUAUGUGCACCUGUGAGCCCAUAAGUGCUGUCAAAUCCCCUGGAUCUAGAGUUACAGGGAGCCUGACAUGGGCGCUUGGAAUUGAACUUGGGUCCUCUCCAAGAGUAGUUAGUAUGUGCUCUUAACAAUUGUUGAUUGGCCACACAUUGGGAACUUUAUUUGCUGGGUAUUAGAUAUUUUUGUUAUUUCUAUAAAUAUUCUUUCUCUGAAAGGCUGUUACAAUAGUCAGUUUGAUCCUAUGUGAAACAGGAUGGCAUGUGUGUGGACAGAAAGCAAAGGGUCCUGGAGGAUCGGAACUAGAGCCAGAGAUGAGCUUACCAGUGUUAGAACAGGAGAUUUAAACAAGAAGCAAAACUGAAAGUAACCAUGCCGGGCAGUUGUAUCACAAGCUAAGUCAUUUCUGGAAGAGGGAACAUCAAUGAGAACACACCCCACCCCUUCCCCACUAUGCCUGUGGUGCAUUUUCUUGAUGUGGGAGGGCCCAGCUCACUGUAGGCUGUGCCACCCAUGGGCAGGUGGUCCUGUGAUGUACAGGAGAGCAGGCUGAGCACGCUAUAAGGAGCAAGCCAAGAGAGAUCAGUCCUCCAAGGCAUCUGCAUCAGAUCCUGCCACCAGGUUCCUGCCCUGUUGGAGUUCCUUCCCUGACUUCCUUCAGUGAUCUACUGUGCUGUUGGACUCUGUAAGCUGAAAUAAACCCUUUCCUCCUCAA
Long non-coding RNA from Peromyscus californicus insignis, 5639 nucleotides. RefSeq lists it as uncharacterized. The transcript has 2 exons. NCBI's taxonomy places the organism in Eukaryota, Metazoa, Chordata, Mammalia, Rodentia, Cricetidae. The record is from RefSeq and is a predicted model, not a curated record.